UUAUCUAUAAGGAGCCACUGGAGAUUCUUUUCGAGAAGCUCAAUCUGGUUAAUGGAGUGCUCUUUACUGGGGGUUGGGCUAAAAGCGGUUUAUACUAUGACAUUGCAAAGGCAGUUUUUAAGAAAGCUUUAGCCAAGAACGAUGCAGGAUACCAUUUUCCGUUGUAUGCUAUCUGCUUAGGUUUUGAACUUCUGACAAUGAUCAUUAGCAAGAACAAGAACAUUCUGGAAUCAUUUAAUGCAGCAGAUCAGGCUUCUACACUUCAGUUUAUGAAAAAUGCAAAUAUAGAGGGAACUGUGUUUCAAAGAUUUCCUCCAGACUUGCUUAAAAAGUUGAGUACGGAUUGUCUCAUCAUGCAAAACCAUCAUUACGGCAUCUCGCCAGAACGGCUUUAAGAGAACCAGGAUCUAUCUAGUUUCUUCAAGAUCUUGACUACUAGUGCAGAUGCAGAUGACAAAGUUUAUGUCUCCACUGUAGAAGCACACAACUA
This 490-nucleotide unclassified non-coding RNA is filed under the name Hevea brasiliensis (rubber tree). Lineage: Eukaryota; Viridiplantae; Streptophyta; Magnoliopsida; Malpighiales; Euphorbiaceae. The record is from RNAcentral.